GCGGAAAUGGCGAAAUUGGCAGACGCACCAUCUUGAGGGGGUGGCGCCCAACGGGCGUGGGGGUUCAAGUCCCCCUUUCCGCAC
Molecule: transfer RNA, 84 nt
Filed under: bioreactor metagenome
Description: tRNA-Leu
Rfam family: tRNA
About the family: Transfer RNA (tRNA) molecules are approximately 80 nucleotides in length. Their secondary structure includes four short double-helical elements and three loops (D, anti-codon, and T loops). Further hydrogen bonds mediate the characteristic L-shaped molecular structure. tRNAs have two regions of fundamental functional importance: the anti-codon, which is responsible for specific mRNA codon recognition, and the 3' end, to which the tRNAs corresponding amino acid is attached (by aminoacyl-tRNA synthetases). tRNAs cope with the degeneracy of the genetic code in two manners: having more than one tRNA (with a specific anti-codon) for a particular amino acid; and 'wobble' base-pairing, i.e. permitting non-standard base-pairing at the 3rd anti-codon position.
Source: RNAcentral